CACUAUGCCUAGCCAUAAACAUUGAUAGAAAACUACACCCACUAUCCGCCCGGGAACUACGAGCAUCAGCUUGAAACCCAAAGGACUUGGCGGUGCUUUAGAUCCACCUAGAGGAGCCUGUUCUAGAACCGAUUACCCCCGUUCAACCUCACCUUUCCUUGUUUUUCCCGCCUAUAUACCACCGUCGUCAGCUUACCCUAUGAAGGACUUAUAGUAAGCAAGAUUGGCACAGCCCAAAACGUCAGGUCGAGGUGUAGCGUAUGGAAAGGGAAGAAAUGGGCUACAUUCCCUAAUAUAGUGAAAUACGAACGAUACACUGAAAUACGUAUCUGAAGGAGGAUUUAGCAGUAAGCAGAAAAUAGAGCGUUCCGCUGAAACCGGCCCUGAAGCGCGCACACACCGCCCGUCACUCUCCCCGAACUUAAUAGCCCUUAAUACUUAAAACCUAAAAACUGCAAAGGGGAGGCAAGUCGUAA
RNAcentral lists this ribosomal RNA (476 nucleotides) under Lutjanus fulvus (blacktail snapper). RNAcentral describes it as "partial small subunit ribosomal RNA". It matches the Rfam family "Bacterial small subunit ribosomal RNA", at positions 788 to 1491 of the family's 1533-position model. The record is from RNAcentral. Lineage: Eukaryota; Metazoa; Chordata; Actinopteri; Lutjaniformes; Lutjanidae.